GACGAACGCUGGCGGCGUGCUUAACACAUGCAAGUCGAACGGAAAGGCCCUGCUUUUGUGGGGUGCUCGAGUGGCGAACGGGUGAGUAACACGUGAGUAACCUGCCCUUGACUUUGGGAUAACUUCAGGAAACUGGGGCUAAUACCGGAUAGGAGCUCCUGCUGCAUGGUGGGGGUUGGAAAGUUUCGGCGGUUGGGGAUGGACUCGCGGCUUAUCAGCUUGUUGGUGGGGUAGUGGCUUACCAAGGCUUUGACGGGUAGCCGGCCUGAGAGGGUGACCGGCCACAUUGGGACUGGGAUACGGCCCAGACUCCUACGGGGGGCAGCAGUGGGGAAUAUUGCACAAUGGGCGGAAGCCUGAUGCAGCAACGCCGCGUGCGGGAUGACGGCCUUCGGGUGGUAAACCGCUUUCGCCUGUGACGAAGCGUGAGUGACGGUAAUGGGUAAAGAAGCACCGGCUAACUACGU
Molecule: ribosomal RNA, 467 nt
Filed under: uncultured bacterium
Lineage: Bacteria
Description: partial 16S ribosomal RNA
Rfam family: Bacterial small subunit ribosomal RNA
Source: RNAcentral